UUGCCCUAAGGACAAAUCCCGUGGGCUGCUUUUAACUAACGGUGAGAUUACGAACGAUGCUCUCUAUUGCUCUUCCCCUCUUUUUUUUUUUCUUUUUUCUUUUCCUUUUUUCUUUUAGUCAGCUAAAUAGCGAAAUUGAGAAUCGUUAGCUGCGUGCGUCUAGGGUUUAGAUUUAUCAAGAGAAUCAUCGUCGCUUCGAAUCCCCCCAAAUCAAACACGAUUCGUAGCAUCUCUGCGUCCGUUCUCGUUCACUGAUCUGAUUUUGCAGCUAAAAUGGUGGAGUCCGAUGAUGGAGUUGAUUUCAAGGCUUAUAGUCCGAUCGAGAGCUCUCUGUUUUCCUUUCAAUGUGUUUGGUCCACGAAGAAGAAGAGAAGUUCGAAAUUAGUCAAGUCCAAAGAGUUCAGCAGNNN
This 410-nucleotide long non-coding RNA is filed under the name Brassica napus (rape). Its description in RNAcentral is "long non-coding RNA (BNAP_LNC007526)". The record is from RNAcentral. Lineage: Eukaryota; Viridiplantae; Streptophyta; Magnoliopsida; Brassicales; Brassicaceae.